AAUUUUAGACCUCAAAUCAGUCAGGACUACCCGCUGAACUUAAGCAUAUCAAUAAGCGGAGGAAAAGAAACUAACAAGGAUUCCCCUAGUAACGGCGAGUGAAGUGGGAAAAGCUCAACUUUGAAAUCUGGUACUUUCAGUAUCCGAAUUGUAGUCUCAAGAAGUGUUUUCUGUGCCGGUCCAUGUAUGAGUCUGUUGGAACACAGCGUCAUAGAGGGUGACAACCCCGUUCAUGACAUGGAUCCCGGUGCUUUGUGAUACACUCUCGAAGAGUCGAGUUGUUUGGGAAUGCAGCUCAAAUUGGGUGGUAAAUUCCAUCUAAAGCUAAAUAUUGGCGAGAGACCGAUAGCAAACAAGUACCGUGAGGGAAAGAUGAAAAGCACUUUGGAAAGAGAGUUAACAGUACGUGAAAUUGUUGAAAGGGAAACGAUUGAAGUCAGACGUGCGUGAUGCGGUUCAGCUCUAGUUCGCUAGAGUGUACUCCGUAUCUUUGCAGGCCAGCAUCGGUUUUGUUAGUCGGAUAAAGGUUUGAGAAAUGUGGCAUCUUCGGAUGUGUUAUAGUCUCAGACUGAAUACGAUUGAUGGGACCGAGGAACGCAGCGCGCCGCAAGGCAAAGGUUC
This 621-nucleotide small RNA is filed under the name Rhodotorula sp. 31-1. RNAcentral describes it as "eukaryotic LSU rRNA". It matches the Rfam family "Eukaryotic large subunit ribosomal RNA", at positions 1 to 619 of the family's 3401-position model. The record is from RNAcentral. Lineage: Eukaryota; Fungi; Basidiomycota; Microbotryomycetes; Sporidiobolales; Sporidiobolaceae.